This 465-nucleotide ribosomal RNA is filed under the name uncultured bacterium. Its description in RNAcentral is "partial 16S ribosomal RNA". It matches the Rfam family "Bacterial small subunit ribosomal RNA", at positions 28 to 507 of the family's 1533-position model. The record is from RNAcentral.
GACGAACGCUGGCGGCGUGCUUAACACAUGCAAGUCGAACGCUGAACCCGCUUCGGUGGGGGAUGAGUGGCGAACGGGUGAGUAACGCGUGGGCAACCUGCCCCCGGCUCUGGGAUAACUCCAAGAAAUUGGGGCUAAUACCGGAUGUGACCGCUGGCCGCAUGGUCUGGUGGUGGAAAGGGUUUCCGGCUGGGGAUGGGCCCGCGGCCUAUCAGCUUGUUGGUGGGGUAGUGGCCUACCAAGGCGACGACGGGUAGCCGGCCUGAGAGGGUGACCGGCCACACUGGGACUGAGACACGGCCCAGACUCCUACGGGAGGCAGCAGUGGGGAAUAUUGCGCAAUGGGCGGAAGCCUGACGCAGCGACGCCGCGUGGGGGAUGACGGCCUUCGGGUUGUAAACCUCUUUCAGCAGGGACGAAGCGCAAGUGACGGUACCUGCAGAAGAAGCACCGGCCAACUACGUG